Long non-coding RNA from Triticum aestivum (bread wheat), 672 nucleotides. RefSeq lists it as uncharacterized. NCBI's taxonomy places the organism in Eukaryota, Viridiplantae, Streptophyta, Magnoliopsida, Poales, Poaceae. The record is from RefSeq and is a predicted model, not a curated record. The transcript has 3 exons.
UCCAUCUCGAACCCAACUCCACAGCCCUAACCCGUGCCUGCCGCCGCCGCCCUCGUGCUCGAUCCACAGUCCUGCCGCCGGCCUCGCGCUCUACCCCGUUUUCAUGUCAUCGUCUCGGAGCUCGCACUACCUCGCCCCUAAGCUCCACCUCGUCAUCCACCCAUCCUUGCAGUCCGCCCCUCCCCCCGAGCUCCAUAUCCCGAGAUCGAGCCGUCGCCAUCUCGAUUCACAUCGAACCGCCGUCCUCACACCGCCCCCUCGACAUCCCGCUGUCGUCCUUGCCAGUCCCCGCUCCUGCUGCUGCCGGGGCUCCAUCUCCGGGCUCCCGCUGCUGUCCCACCUGCUGUUGCUGGGGCUCCAUCUCCGGGCUCUUGCUGCUGAUGGAUCUGCUGCUACCGGGGCUCCAUCUGCAGGCUCACGCUGCUGCUGGACCUGCUGCUACCGAGGAUCCAUCCCCUUCGAGCUAUGCCCCUCUCGAAGACAGUUGGCAUCGUGUCUGAGUGAGGUGAUGGCGGAAGACAAUAAUGAUCAUUGACACAUCAUAGAUGGAGCUGGAGGCAAUGCUGCAAAGAGUGUCAAAUGGAGGUGGUUUCUCAUGGUAGUCAAGAUGUGGUCCUACAGCCAUAUCUCUACUCCUAAUGGAGCAGUUGGUAGCCUCGUACGGUUUAUUUU